GCCGCCGUAGCGUAACUGGCAGCGUGCGCCGCUUGUACCGGCGCGGUGCGGGUUCGACUCCCGCCGGCGGCUCCA
Molecule: transfer RNA, 75 nt
Filed under: Bryobacteraceae bacterium
Lineage: Bacteria; Pseudomonadati; Acidobacteriota; Terriglobia; Bryobacterales; Bryobacteraceae
Description: tRNA-Thr
Rfam family: tRNA
About the family: Transfer RNA (tRNA) molecules are approximately 80 nucleotides in length.
Source: RNAcentral